GAUGAACGCUGGCGGCGUGCCUAAUACAUGCAAGUAGAACGCUGAAGGCGGAGCUUGCUCUUCUGGAUGAGUUGCGAACGGGUGAGUAACGCGUAGGUAACCUGCCUGGUAGCGGGGGAUAACUAUUGGAAACGAUAGCUAAUACCGCAUGACAACAGUUAUUGCAUGAUAACUGUUUAAAAGGGGCAACUGCUCCACUACCAGAUGGACCUGCGUUGUAUUAGCUAGUUGGUGAGGUAACGGCUCACCAAGGCGGCGAUACAUAGCCGACCUGAGAGGGGGAUCGGCCAAACUGGGACGGGGACAGGGCCCAGACGCCUACGGGAGGCAGCCGUAGGGAAUCUUCGGCAAUGGACGGAAGUCUGACCGAGCAACGCCGCGUGAGUGAAGAACGUUUUCGGAUCGUAAAGCUCGGUUGUAAGAGAAGAACGGGUGUGAGAGUGGAAAGUUCACACUGUGACGGUAUCUUACCAGAAAGGGACGGCUAACUACGUG
RNAcentral lists this ribosomal RNA (495 nucleotides) under uncultured bacterium. RNAcentral's name for it is "partial 16S ribosomal RNA". It matches the Rfam family "Bacterial small subunit ribosomal RNA", at positions 28 to 507 of the family's 1533-position model. The record is from RNAcentral.